Molecule: ribosomal RNA, 492 nt
Filed under: uncultured bacterium
Lineage: Bacteria
Description: partial 16S ribosomal RNA
Rfam family: Bacterial small subunit ribosomal RNA
Source: RNAcentral
AGUGAACGCUGGCGGUAGGCCUAACACAUGCAAGUCGAACGGCAGCACAGUAGGAGCUUGCUAUUACGGGUGGCGAGUGGCGGACGGGUGAGGAAUACAUCGGAAUCUACUUUUUCGUGGGGGAUAACGUAGGGAAACUUACGCUAAUACCGCAUACGACCUACGGGUGAAAGCAGGGGAUCUUCGGACCUUGCGCGAUUGAAUGAGCCGAUGUCGGAUUAGCUAGUUGGCGGGGUAAAGGCCCACCAAGGCGACGAUCCGUAGAUAGUCUGAGAGGAUGAUCAGCGACACUGGGAGUGAGACACGGAGCAGACUGCGACGGGCAUAAGCAGUGCAUAAUAUUACGCAAUUGGCGCGAGACUGAUCCAGCCAUCCCUGCUGAGUCGACGACGACUUCGGGGUGUAAAGCUCUUUUGUUGAGGUAGACGCGCAGCGUGCUAAGCAUCGAAUGUACUGACGGUACUCGAUGAAUAAGACCCGGGUAACUACGUG